RNAcentral lists this ribosomal RNA (492 nucleotides) under uncultured bacterium. RNAcentral's name for it is "partial 16S ribosomal RNA". It matches the Rfam family "Bacterial small subunit ribosomal RNA", at positions 29 to 507 of the family's 1533-position model. The record is from RNAcentral.
AGUGAACGCUGGCGGUAGGCCUAACACAUGGAAGUCGAACGGCAGCACAGUAAGAGCUUGCUCUUACGGGUGGCGAGUGGCGGACGGGUGAGGAAUACAUCGGAAUCUACUUUUUCGUGGGGGAUAACGUAGGGAAACUUACGCUAAUACCGCAUACGACCUACGGGUGAAAGCAGGGGAUCUUCGGACCUUGCGCGAUUGAAUGAGCCGAUGUCGGAUUAGCUAGUUGGCGGGGUAAAGGCCCACCUAGGCGACGAUCCGUAGCUGGUCUGAGAGGAUGAUCAGCCACACUGGAACUGAGACACGGUCCAGACUCCUACGGGAGGCAGCAGUGGGGAAUAUUGGACAAUGGGCGCAAGCCUGAUCCAGCCAUACCGCGUGGGUGAAGAAGGCCUUCGGGUUGUAAAGCCCUUUUGUUGGGAAAGAAAAGCAGCAGGUUAAUACCCCGCUGUUCUGACGGUACCCAAAGAAUAAGCACCGGCUAACUUCGUG